CCUACGGGUGGCAGCAGUGGGGAAUAUUGCACAAUGGGGGAAACCCUGAUGCAGCGACGCCGCGUGAGUGAAGAAGUAUCUCGGUACGUAAAGCUCUAUCAGCAGGGAAGAAAAUGACGGUACCUGACUAAGAACCCCCGGCUAACUACGUGCCAGCAGCCGCGGUAUUACGUAGGGGGCAAGCGUUAUCCGGAUUUACUGGGUGUAAAGGGAGCGUUGACGGCAGCGCAAGUCUGGAGUGAAAUCCCGGGGCUUAACCCCGGAACUGCUUUGGAAACUGUGCGGCUGGAGUGCAGGAGGGGUAAGCGGAAUUCCUAGUGUAGCGGUGAAAUGCGUAGAUAUUAGGAGGAACACCAGUGGCGAAGGCGGCUUACUGGACUGUAACUGACGUUGAGGCUCGAAAGCGUGGGGAGCAAACAGGAUUAGAUACCCUAGUAGUC
This 440-nucleotide ribosomal RNA is filed under the name uncultured bacterium. Its description in RNAcentral is "partial 16S ribosomal RNA". It matches the Rfam family "Bacterial small subunit ribosomal RNA", at positions 338 to 795 of the family's 1533-position model. The record is from RNAcentral.